ACUCCUACGGGAGGCAGCAGUGGGGAAUUUUGGACAAUGGGGGAAACCCUGAUCCAGCCAUCCCGCGUGUGCGAUGAAGGCCUUCGGGUUGUAAAGCACUUUUGGCAGGAAAGAAACGUCAUGGGUUAAUACCCCGUGAAACUGACGGUACCUGCAGAAUAAGCACCGGCUAACUACGUGCCAGCAGCCGCGGUAAUAACGUAGGG
This 206-nucleotide ribosomal RNA is filed under the name uncultured bacterium. RNAcentral describes it as "partial 16S ribosomal RNA". It matches the Rfam family "Bacterial small subunit ribosomal RNA", at positions 335 to 532 of the family's 1533-position model. The record is from RNAcentral.